UUCACAGUACGUAUACUAAAAAAAAAAUCAAACAAUACAGGGAAGAUAGGCAUGACCUCUCAGCAAGGAUGACACAUAAAUUCAUGAACCGUCAUAUAUACAC
This is a small nuclear RNA of Lemur catta (Ring-tailed lemur), 103 nucleotides long. The record is from RefSeq and is a predicted model, not a curated record. NCBI's taxonomy places the organism in Eukaryota, Metazoa, Chordata, Mammalia, Primates, Lemuridae.